GAGCGCCAAUUUAUUGGAGCAGCGAACGGGUGAGUAACACGUUGGAACCUACCUUGGACUCAGGGAUAACCCGCCGAAAGGCGCGGCUAAUACCGGAUAGUCCCGCAAGGGUAAAGCUUUUGCGGUCCAAGAGGGUCCUGCAGCCUAUCAGCUAGUUGGUAAGGUAACGGCUUACCAAGGCAAUGACGGGUAGCUGGUCUGAGAGGAUGAUCAGCCACAAUGGGACUGAGACACGGCCCAU
Molecule: ribosomal RNA, 241 nt
Filed under: uncultured bacterium
Lineage: Bacteria
Description: partial 16S ribosomal RNA
Rfam family: Bacterial small subunit ribosomal RNA
Source: RNAcentral